UUCAACAUUAUUUUCUUUGUAUAAACUCUCUCUCUAUUCUAGAGAGUUCCAAACGCUCUGCCUUCUCUCUACUUUCUCUCUCUACAUUUUCCAUGAUUUCUCGGUCUAAUAUCAAUGUUUACAUGGUAUCAGAGCCCAGAUGACGAUCCGAUUAUGUUUCUCUACAUCUCGAUGCCUUGGCUGAACUCUUUUUGAGAUUUUUUUUGGGAUUUUUCUGAGACCUUAUGGUCGAUGAUGCUUCUGACCUAGAUCAGAUGCUUUUCCGAGUUUUUCUUCAUGACAUUUGAGUGUAUUUUCUUCACCCGAACAUUCUGAGAGUUUUUCUGCUGAUUUCGGGUGGUUUCUCGGUGACCUAUCGGCUUCUAGGGUUUCUGGUGGUUUAACCUAGCGUUCUACUGCUUUCCAGUGGCUCGAUUCUCACUCAGUGGACGUUUUGGGUGCCUCUCCGACAUUACUGACCACAUUUCCAGUAAGGAUUUCGAAGGUUACACCUAGG
RNAcentral lists this long non-coding RNA (496 nucleotides) under Nicotiana benthamiana. RNAcentral describes it as "long non-coding RNA (NBEN_LNC012711)". The record is from RNAcentral. Lineage: Eukaryota; Viridiplantae; Streptophyta; Magnoliopsida; Solanales; Solanaceae.